This 495-nucleotide ribosomal RNA is filed under the name uncultured bacterium. RNAcentral's name for it is "partial 16S ribosomal RNA". It matches the Rfam family "Bacterial small subunit ribosomal RNA", at positions 28 to 505 of the family's 1533-position model. The record is from RNAcentral.
GAUGAACGCUGGCGGCGUGCCUAAUACAUGCAAGUCGAGCGAACAGACGAGGAGCUUGCUCCUCUGACGUUAGCGGCGGACGGGUGAGUAACACGUGGAUAACCUACCUAUAAGACUGGGAUAACUUCGGGAAACCGGAGCUAAUACCGGAUAAUAUAUUGAACCGCAUGGUUCAAUAGUGAAAGACGGUUUUGCUGUCACUUAUAGAUGGAUCCGCGCCGCAUUAGCUAGUUGGUAAGGUAACGGCUUACCAAGGCAACGAUGCGUAGCCGACCUGAGAGGGUGAUCGGCCACACUGGAACUGAGACACGGUCCAGACUCCUACGGGAGGCAGCAGUAGGGAAUCUUCCGCAAUGGGCGAAAGCCUGACGGAGCAACGCCGCGUGAGUGAUGAAGGUCUUCGGAUCGUAACACUCUGUUAUUAGGGAAGAACAAAUGUGUAAGUAACUAUGCACGUCUUGACGGUACCUAAUCAGAAAGCCACGGCUAACUACG